GACCACAUGGCCCAAUGGUCAGGGCUUUCAGCUCCGGGGCUGAAGCUGGAUACUAUUGAUCAUUUUGGACUUAAUUUGUGUUGCAAAACGUUUAUUUUUCGUGGUAUUUCGGGGUCCGGUUUUUUCCCCUCUCAACAACCUGUGACGGAGUGUGUGCCCACGGAGGAGAUAGAGAGUCCCACACAGCAACCGGGAGGACAGAAAAAUGGACUACAUUCCAAAUUUCACCUGGUCCGACUCUGGAGAAAUCAUUCUGAAGCCAACACCGGAUGCGCAGGCCUAUGCCCUUCAGGUGCAAGCCCGGAGCAUGCUGAUUGGUGGAGUGAAAGGGCCCGCCAGAGUGAUUCAGGAUGCAAAGCUGCGUGUCCACCAUGGCCAAGGUGAUGUGGAGGAUUCCAACCUGCUCCUCAGCCAACAUGACCUGCAGUUUGGCAAAUAUCGUGUCCAGACCUUCUACUGGCUCCUUUGCAAUGACAUGGGUUACGCUGUCAUGAUUGCGGCUGCUCAUCUGAAGGAGCGUCAGGCUGGCCGUGAUAACAUGAGCCACACAAUGCUGAACAAGGACAGCCUAUGUUGCUACGCCAAGCUGUUCCCAGAUGUCAUGCGGGCUGUUGAGCAGAGGAUGCUGUCUGAUGGCUCCCUGAUUCCAGCUUCCUCCUCAGCACUGGAUCACAAGGUGGUUGACUUUGGUAAACACGCCAAACUCACUUACAAAGAUUUUUUCAAAUCUUCUGUUUCUGAGGUGCAGAGCUACAGGAACUGGCUCCGGAGGACCCCUGCUCGCUCAGCUGGUACAAUGAUGGACCAGCUGAGAAAGUACGUGCUGUGGAGGGAUGAGCAGACGAUGAAGGCCUCGACGUCUGCCUCCACCUCCGCCUCCUCCGCCUCUUCCGCCGCCUCUGCCUCCUUUGCCUCCGCAUCUGUCUCUGCCAGCCCUUCAUCUGUGGUGCCUGUGAAUGCUCCAUCAUCACCCUCACCUCCUCCUCCUCCUGUGAGGAGAACAAAGAGGAUCGCUGUCAUAGCGUCGUCGUCUGAUGAUGAUGAUGAUGAUGAUGCGGCGAUGGUGUCUGCUGUGGAGGAAGUGGAAAAGUCCGACCUCCCUCCUUUGACCACUCCUACACCUACUCCGCCGCCCACCACGCCUACUCCCGGCCCCACAGCACCAGAGGCUCCACCUCCACCUGCAGUGUUAAGCCGCACUGCUGGAGUGUCUUCCGCGGACGUUUGUCUCCCUGAUGCCUGGAGGGAGACGCUGCCCCCAGGACAGCAUGCCUGGCUCAGCAGGGCUCUCUUCACCAGAGACUCAGCCGGAAAGGCAGCCCUGAAAUCAGAGCUGCAGCUCUGGUACCACCCACCGGGACCACGGCACAUCUACUUCCAGCCUCCAACCUCUCCUGAAGCCUUCUUCCAGCGUCCCUUCUUCCUCUGGAUGCCGUACCGGGUGUGGCACUGCCCCAUCGUAUGCCCAGUCUGCAAGCACAAGAUGACCUCGUGUGGCAUAUAUAAGACAAUGUGGCGAGUGCUGGACCGCGACGGCUGGUACUACAUGGGCACAGAGUACCUGGAGUGCCGGAGCUGUGGGAAGAAGUUGGCCCUCUGGUGCCUCAGCAUCCUUGAUGCUGUCUGA
Gouania willdenowi (blunt-snouted clingfish) is the source of this 1627-nucleotide long non-coding RNA. Ensembl lists it as uncharacterized. The record is from Ensembl. Lineage: Eukaryota; Metazoa; Chordata; Actinopteri; Blenniiformes; Gobiesocidae.